UUCACAGACUGAAGUUCUGGUUAUGGCCCUUUCUAGGGGGAAAGCCUGAUUUCCUAUGAAAUGUCAGGGUCAAAUCCCAAAUUUAUUUAACAACGUCAGAACACCAUUUUGAGAGAGACUGUUUUGGUACUUUCUGUGAAGUGUCACUGCUAUAAGGUUUUUUUUUUUUUUUUUUCCUCCUCCUGCAAGUGGGUUGCCUGGCUCGGCGCUAGGGCUGCACGGACAAGUUGUGGCAAGUAAAGAAUGGUUCUCACGGUUGGCUUGGCAACCUGAUUGUGUCGUGAUCACUACUAAGGAAGAGUUCUCCCAGUGAUGCCACUUGAACUGAUUCCUGAGCACCACUUGAGACUAAAUCCAAAAUAGCAUCUUUCAUUGGCCCAUUCCCCCAGGCAGUGACCCCCUCAGCCGAAAGGUGCUCUGGAGAGUCACCCGUGUAGGUUCAUCUUUCUGGUCCUUAGACCUGGACCAUGGAGCUGAUGCUGCCCUGGGACAGCCCCGAAGGAGCCAGACAGGGUGUCCAUUCCUCUGAGCAGGUGGGUUUUUUGAGGAAGAAAUGACGAGGAAGAAGGACAACUAAAAGGCCCUGCCUUAGCAGCCUUUCAGAGACCUUUAAAGCUAUGAAAAAUAAAAAAAACCAAGUGCUGUCCUUCCUUUAAUUUCACCCCCAUAUUCCUUAGUCCAUCCCUGGAUUUUCCUCCUUCUGUGUUUGCAGUGCGUUUUGACUUCCAAUGUGAACUGCUUACCACCAUCUGACACAAGCACUGACAAAUCUGUGCUAUCCUGCUAUAUAAUAUUUGCUGUCCUUAAUCUUUGUUAUUCUGCUUCUUUUAUACACAGUUAACGCUGGCAGAUCCGACUGUCAACCAGUCGCUUUUAUUCUUCGUGUUAUCUAGUUGCCCCUUUAUCUCAGGGGAAACAAAUAUCAUAAAAAGCUGUGUAUUUUCGGAGUACUGUUCCAUCUUAGCUUCAGUUUUUUCUGUGCGAGGACUCACUGGAAAACAAUACGCUGCAUGGUGCAAAACUCUGUUUUCUUCCCCUGAAAUAUGCACCUAGCUUAACUGUUUCUUCCUCAGCAGAGGACAAGCUGCAGAAGGUUUCCGGUCCAUCCUUGAGAAGCUUCUCCUAUCGUGGUUUUCAAAGUUUCCUCGUAGGAUGCUCAUCCUUUGUUGAACAACUCUCAUUACCGAUUUGCGGUCAGUUCCGUUUCAGCAGUAACUUCACCUCACGUGUAACCGCGUUCUGCCAAAGGGAGGUUCUGUGAUCCCAGCACUAAAGAGGCGCUGUUCGUGUGCCUUCAGGUUGACAGACUGAACUGAUCUUGCGUGAAUCAGCCUUGCAUCUACUCGGCUCACCUUGUUAGAACUGUAGACUAACUAAGGUUGGAGGAGAUUUCCGAAGGCCUCGAGUCCAAAGCAGGCUUCGCUUCAAAGUCAGAUUGAGUUGCUUGAAGUCUUACCCAGUUGUGGAGAUGCUGAGAGAAGGACUCCUCUGCACAUCCAUUAAAUCUCCCCGUCCUGCAAAAUAAGACAGAGCUUCUACAGCCAGGAGCUUCUGCUCUGAAGGCAAGAUCAGGCAGCAACUAUGCAAGAGCUACAGUCUCUCUACAAAGUUUGUCUGAUGGACUGAGGACCCCACAGUACAUCAAAUAACAUAAGGAACUGGAUGGAUUUCUUCUAAUGAUGGGGCUCACCUGAUUUUGAGCUAUGUACCACACUUCUAGAUGGCUAAGCUAGGCUGCUUUGCCAGGGGAUGAGGAAGGCAGCAUCUUGGGGGUGAUUUGUCCCAUCAGUUUCAGAGAAGUGUCUAAAAGAUAGUCACCUUCUGGAGGCGCACAUCUCUUCGUUUACUAAUGUGGGAGUCUAGAAAACUAUCUUGGACUUAAUGACCAGGUGCGCGUCCCAGCUGAGCAUGUGGUGCUUAGUGUCCACCUUAGGAGGAGUAAAAUUCAAAGAAAUUGCUUCUUGGGACCCACGUUAUUUUUAAUUUACUUAGCAAACUUUGGUCAGACUGCAUAGUUAAACUACAUUCCAUUGAAGGUUAAAGGAAGAAUGUAAGGCUGAUGCAGAACAAACAGUUUCCUAUGUUACUCAAAGAAGAGGUUGUCUUUAUGUUGCAAGAUUAGUGCAACUCACAGUGACAAGGCACGCAGAGGUGCAAAGGUCUACUGUAUCUGUUGAUACCAUAUGUUUUAUUUCUGUGUUGCUAGUGAAUUCAAAAUGGCAGCCUCCUGCGCAAGAGAACUGUAUGGUGGUUGGUUUUUUCUCUUCUUACUAUUCUCUAAUUUGGAUCUUUUUUUGGCUGUUACUACCAAAUAGUAGGCCUAAUGGCUUCUACGCUUUAAAAAAGACUGUGAAAACAAGAGAACGUUAGCUCUAUUCAGUGCCUGGCUCGGGAUAAUGGGAAGAACUGAGGAACACAGAGCUCUCUGUGGGGAAAGGCAAAAAAAUGAGCAGAAAUUAACAGCUUUGAUUUAACCCUUGAGGUUUACUAACUCAUAUUUCUAGUUGGUAUUGCUCUGAUAUGGAGUGCUGGUAUGUCCAGAAAUCAAGAUGCCAGCACUGCUGCUUUUUAAUACUCCUUCCUGUUUCAGUUCCCCUAUUGAACCAAUUUUUUGCAGUACCAACCUUCCCACUGCAAAUUGCUAUGGCAAUAGAAGUCAAACACAAAAACAAGGCUCCCAAACACGUGAAGGUUUAUUUAUCCACAUGAAUUUGACUGCAUACUUUCUCAUGAAUAUUUCUGGGGUAUGGGUCUCGGAACAGAAUGAUCUACAAAAAAGUUGCAUUUAAUGUGAAAAAUAUGGAUGACAGGUAUCUAGGAUCUGUCAUUCCAGUUCUCCUGGGGAAUUGACUUACAGAAAGUAGAUAUUCUCCAUCUUUUAGGAAAAAAGAAUCCUUGCAGUGACAGCAGGCUACUCAGUCCCUCUUGAACUCAUUUAUUUCUUUUGAAAACAUACUACACUGCUGUAGUAAUCUAGGACAUAUCUACACUGUAACUAACUUGGCUCCCUACUUCUUUCCUGGGUCUGCGGUUGCUCAUGUUGGUUAAUUCCCAGGCCCUUUACAGGGGUGAACCAAUUAGUUCCUUCUGGAGUGAAGGUCCGGUUCAUUCUGGGAUUUCUGUGGAUAGUAGUGACAAAACUGCGCUAGAUGUGGCUCCUCCUGCCCUCCAAUGCUACCCUAGAAAGCUCUGUAUUUUCAACCAUGCAACACGUCUGCUCCCUGUUGUAUCUUAAAAACAUCAGGUGGGCUGCUGCGUACAUGUUACCAUGGACAUUCGCAACGGUGAAAAGAAGUUCACUGCAAGGAGAAUUGUCUAACAGCCCCAGUAGUGCCGCACAUUGGUGCCUAAUGCUCCUGCAAAGAACCCAGCCAGUCUGCAGGAGCUGCUCUGACAGCUAGGGGUUGCCCCGGCAUACCUACAUUGAGCAAAAUAGAGGUAACCACAAAGCGGCAACAGGAAAAAUCAAAAAGCCACUUUUUGGUGUAUUGUUGACUGGUGACUACUUGGAGUGCAGUUUAUUUAAAUGGAAGACGGUUGUUUUAUAUAGUUUCUGUGCUGUUGCUAAAAUGGUAGUGCUUUAAAAUCCGGUACUUUAUUUUAGAUGUGCUUCCUCAGUGCUAGAAAAAGUUCUUUAUAUCACCCCCUAUUGUCUGAAUGGCACUACUAAAUCACAAGCUGAGGCUUCUGUUUCCUUAAACAUUUUUAACAGAGGUGUACUUAAAAUGCUGUAAGUGUAAACAUACCUUAUGAAAAUAAAUAGAAUUAAAUGUGAUAAAGCACUUGCUCUCAAGUUAAAUACACCAUGUGAUUUAUCAUUAUUUUAUUAAUGAACUCAUAUCUCAGCAAGUGAUUUUUCAUAUCAUCUUUUAAUUAAAGCUGAUUUGUGUCUCCAUGGAAACUUUUAGCAUGAACUACCAUUAUUGUAAGUCUAUAAACAAUCACAAAAACUUAUAGCCUGUGAACAGACCCAUAACUGCAGGAAAAUUUUGUAUUUUUAACUACUUAAUAAGAAACAUUUGUUGAAUUUCCCUAUUUACGAGGCGCUCUCUAUUCUGACAAAGCAUCUCAAAAAUCUAUGAGUCUAUUGGAGUUUACAGCCCAGUCGGUACAGCAAUGAUGGUAGGCCGUAUGUUUGACGAGAAAGUGACUUUAUACUGUAACUGAACACAGUUUAGGGCAAAGAAUGGAAUAGUUCUGUGAUUUCUUUUUACAGAGCCUUUUCUAUUGUGAAAACGUCUCCUGGGAGGAAAAUGGGAAGUGGUCCAUGAUGUUUAAAGAUGGACAAGGAGUGGAUGAAACAGCCAUUUCUGAAGUGCAAUAUAAAACUAAAUGACCCCUCCAUCCAAAAUUGGAUACUCCCAUCAAGAAUUAUUGUAAAUAUAAAUGGCAACAUCAGAAGCACGUCACUGAGCUUGUUGUAAAACUCCAUCCCUCAGAAAAGAAAGAGUUUUAGACUUAUAUAAAUGUAAAUCCUUUCUCAAAUUAGUUCCACAUUAGCAUAGCCUGAGAGAGUGCUGUUUCACAUAGCAGCUGGGUUGCUGAUAAGUGCCUACUGGUCCCCUGAAAUGUAACUCCAGUCUAGCAAUGGAAAUUAAUCAAAUAUAAACUAAUGACAGUGGCCAUCUGGUGCAAAGACCACAAGAAAAAGAAAUGGGCGGAGUGAGGAGAAGAGCUAUACACAUUCAUGGCAGCACAUAUCCUGCCCAGCGUUACGGGAGGUGGAUGAACUAUCUGGAGGUGACAGUUUGUUUAUUGACCAUUGUUCUGGGUUUCCCACCUCUUUUAAAAGAUGUUUGUCAACAAAUAAUGUCUAGUUAUGAAUUGUUUAAUUGGCUUCUUGCCUUCUGAAUUACUCACGUAUAGAUUAGCUUAGAUACUUGUAGCCCUCAGGCAGUUGUAUCAGCUAUAUGCUUGAUAUGUCAUAUAGACUUGAUAUAGGCUUGUGUAGUAGCCGUGGGCUGGUGCAGCCUUGUGACCUUCCAGUCUCAUCUGUCCCUUACUGUAUUGCCUCAUUAUAAAUAGCAGACUUUAUGCUGGACUUUCCUUCUUUUACCUGGCUGAAUGAUGCAAAAAGAGGGAAAGAAAACUACGCAUUGACCAAUUUCUGGGAGGAAGAAAGAAGAGAGGAGUUAAAAGCUAUGACAGAAAACAUGGGCAAUUUUUCUCGCUAGGUUAUGCAUCAAGUAUUAGCUGAGGUUGCUCACUGAGAUGUGAAACUUAUAUAGUACCACCAACUGGAUCUGAAUAUGCUGCAAAAUUGUGGUCCUAUGUCCUUCUCGAUUAUCUAGCAUCUACAUUGCUGAGAUUCUAGGUAAGAGGUUUAUAUCUACUUUGUAGGGAACAUGCAGCCAGGUACCACGCUUCUGCUUCAUUUUACCCUCAAAAUACAAUCUUUCUGGCUCAAACUCAUUUUAUGAUGCUUUUUGUAUGGCAGUGGCAUUGAUUGAAUUUCUUUCCAUUACUUUUUUUUCGUCACAACAAACCAACAAUAAUUAGAAGAUGGAUAAAUGGACAUGAUUCCAGGGGGAAAGCUCAUCUGAGCAUACCUGCCAGUCAGGUGUUUGGGGAGGAACAUGUUUCUUUUAGCGAUAUAAAUGGUGAUUUCUACAACGCUAUUUUGCGUAUAACUAGGGGAAAGUCAUUUCUGGUAAUUGUUUUUUUUAACUAUCCCCUCAAUUUCCUGUCUGUUAAUCUUCCUUAAUAGGAUUACAUGAUUUUGCACAUUAUAUAGGGAAGACAGCUCAGAUAUCCUUAGUGUUCCUGUAAGAUUUGUGCAGAUCAAUGGCAGAGAAGAGAUUUAGCCCAAAUCAAUUGCUAUCCUCAGCCCUGCUGCAAGAGAUCAACUGUAUUACUAGCUACCAGGCAGCCAGUGCUAGCGAGGAUUGUUAGGAAUGCCCUGACACUGGAAGAGCCCUGGUCAGAGCUGAGCCUUGCUUGGGACAAGCUGAACAUAAGAUGUAAAAACUACAGUGAAGGGCGCUUGCUAUGACCCUCUACUUGCAGACUACUUUCGUUUCUCUUUUGGAAUUAAGUUUGUUCUGAAGACACAGCAUGUUAAGAUUGAACAGUAACUUUCUAUCUCUUCCUAUUCCCCGAAGCCAAAAAAAAUUUGGAGUGGUAUCUACCCCGUCAGUCUAAUACUUGCAGUUUCUCAGCUUCCCUAGAAAUGUGCCAGAAAGACGCAGUGCAGCCUAAUUGAAGAGCAAUUCAUUUAAAAUGAGCAAAGAGGUCUGCCCCACCUGUCAGCUCUGUGGACUUAGAGGACUGUAGCUGGACAGAAACCAACCAUCUGUGUUGCAAGCUUUCUUUGGCUGCUUUUAUAACUUAAUGAAUGAAAUAAUGUACUCAUAGACUGUGAUUGUAAGUUGUUGAAUGACAGUAUGCCAAGCAUACUGUAAUUGUAAUUAAGACACAAAAGGUAAUCAAAAUGUGGAUAAUUAUAUCAUGUGCAACUUGGCUUAGCUGUUUUUGUAAGAGCCAGAGAAAAGUUCUCUUGUGAAGCAUUGCUUUCUUGUCUGGAAGGUCUAAUCGGGUAUUCUUCCUUUCUUCAAAGUGUCGUAUUCUGGACUCUACAGGAACUGAUGUA
Struthio camelus australis is the source of this 6589-nucleotide long non-coding RNA. RefSeq lists it as uncharacterized. The record is from RefSeq and is a predicted model, not a curated record. NCBI's taxonomy places the organism in Eukaryota, Metazoa, Chordata, Aves, Struthioniformes, Struthionidae.